GACAGAGGCAGCGGACAGACAGAGUACAAGGGACAGAGACCCAGCAUGGCACAUGGACAGGGACUCAUUUGGCCGGGGCUGUGUCUGCAGCACAGAAGGACAGGAGAAGGGUCCCGGGAGGGCGGCAAGUUUGCCCUUCAUCUUGGAAGGCUUCUUGCAUUAGUGGGUCCUGAGAACAGGGUGCAUGAGAGUAAACUGUUUGAAAGUCUUACCGGGUGAAGACAUGGCUCGUUGUCCUCACGGAGUCCACGCUUGGCUGGGAACAGAACACCAGACGGAAGGCUCUUCCCUCACACACUGAAGGUGCCGCUCCUCUGUCCUGCCAUCCCAGUGCUGCUGGCGAGAAGUCUCAGCUCAUCCUCUUGGCUGGUCACUGUGUGCGAUUCCCUGCUUAACUUAACAAGUGGACAGGCAGCCAGUGCAGGAAGCACCAGGACUCCGCCACCAACUGAAUCAGAGGAACACAGGCAAACGUCAAGAUGAGGGAGCAAAGUGCAAUCUCAGACCUCAGCUCACCCGGAACAAGUCCAGGAGACACAGACACAAAUGAAAUUAGAAGGCACACACUUGAAAUUUCUGAAAUGAUGGCAAUCAAAGUAAAGAAAAACUUUAGUCCUUGUAUCAUCUGAUUGACUUUGCAUGCCUAAGUCUGGUGGUCUGAGCAACUAUUUAGAGAAUAACAAUGUACAUUAUAGUAAUUAAGGUGGAUUUCCUAUUUGUCUUGCUUUUGAGUUCUAUGUUGCUCUCAUUGUUUUGUUUUGCUUUAUUGUUUUAUUCUCUUUAAAAUAAAAAAAAUAAUAAAUAAGUAAAAAAAUUACCUAAGCCAAAAAUUAUUUUUUUUAAGUUUAUUUAAGGAGAAAAGAAAAAAAAAGCAG
Long non-coding RNA from Cavia porcellus (domestic guinea pig), 875 nucleotides. RefSeq lists it as uncharacterized. Lineage: Eukaryota; Metazoa; Chordata; Mammalia; Rodentia; Caviidae. The record is from RefSeq and is a predicted model, not a curated record. The transcript is spliced from 3 exons.